GAAAAAUAAAACUCAUUAUCUAUGUUGCAUGGACAGCAUGGUCAACGUUUAUUCGUAAAUCUGGUCCUUCGCCAUCACGUGUGUAUUGUAUUUUUGCCCAACUUGAACCAAUCGCAAUUUCCAAUUUACCUGCAGUUUGUUCGAAUCACGGCACAGAAUAAAGAUCAGUAACAGAAGGGCCACUCAGCGGUGCAACGUGUCCGCGUUUUUUUUAUGCAAAAAUAUGCAGUUUACUGGCCAGAAGGCGGAGCAGCCAGCCAGUACAGCGUGUUUAUUGGCCAGAAAAUGUCAUUGACUGGCGCCGGCUAGGAAAAUGGCGACCAACAUGCGUAAUGCGACAUGCGCGAGGCCCUUCUGUAUGGAUCUUUAUUCUAUGAUCACGGAUAGAUAGCUUUUCUAAAACAUUGCUAUUGGUUAGUUGGGCAAAAAUACAAUAUGCACGUGACGGUGAAGGACCAGAUUGGUGAAUAAACGUUGACUAUAUAAACCUAAUAAAACACUCCUGCUCGUUUAUUAAACAGUACAUAGUAAUAAUAAUACUUUGGAAUACUAGCCCAAUGCUCUGCCAACUGAGGUACGCGGUCAGGUCGGUUCGAGUAAGUGAUAUUUCAAUCAUGCCACUACAUAACCCGCGAACAGGCAUACUCUGGGAACGAGAUUGGUGAUAUUUCGGAACUGAAUCUGGUUCCUUCGAUGUGCCAGGAGAAUUUCGACGUUUCGAC
Non-coding RNA from Paramuricea clavata, 722 nucleotides. The record is from the annotation of a GenBank genome assembly. Lineage: Eukaryota; Metazoa; Cnidaria; Anthozoa; Malacalcyonacea; Plexauridae.